Lutra lutra (Eurasian river otter) is the source of this 494-nucleotide non-coding RNA. Lineage: Eukaryota; Metazoa; Chordata; Mammalia; Carnivora; Mustelidae. The record is from the annotation of a RefSeq genome assembly.
CAGGAACACAUUGGACCCAUUGAAAGCAGCAAGAUGGUGACUCCAUCACAGCUUCUUGGCCUUCUGCUCCUCUGGGUUCCAGCCUCUCAUGGCAAGAUUGUGGUGACCCAGUCUCCUGCCAUCCUGUCCAUGGCUCCAAAAUAAGGAGUCACCAUCACCUGCGGGGCCAGUCAAAACAUUAACAAGUGGUUAGUCUGGUAUCAGCAGGAGCCAGGGAGAGCUCCUAAGCUCCUGAUCUAUGCAACAUCCAAGCUGGAAACUGGGGUCCUGUCGUGGAUUAGCGGCAGUGGGUCUGGGACAGACUUCACCCUAAGAAUCAGCAGCCUGGAGCCUGAAGAUGCUGGGACCUACUAUUGCCAACAGUCUAACAGCUACCCGCCCACAGUGUUACAGGUCAGAGCAUAAACCACCAGGGAAGCAGAUGUGAGGGGCUGGGCUGCCCCCGCUUCUCCUCUGAUGCCUGCAACUGCUCAGACAGUUUCUCAGAGGCAGCC